This 462-nucleotide ribosomal RNA is filed under the name uncultured bacterium. Its description in RNAcentral is "partial 16S ribosomal RNA". It matches the Rfam family "Bacterial small subunit ribosomal RNA", at positions 338 to 795 of the family's 1533-position model. The record is from RNAcentral.
CCUACGGGAGGCAGCAGUGAGGAAUAUUGGUCAAUGGACGAGAGUCUGAACCAGCCAAGUAGCGUGAAGGAUGACUGCCCUAUGGGUUGUAAACUUCUUUUAUAUGGGAAUAAAAGGGGGCUCGUGAGCCCCGUAUUGUAUGUACCAUCAGAAAAAGGACCGGCUAAUUCCGUGCCAGCAGCCGCGGUAAUACGGAAGGUCCGGGCGUUAUACGGAUUUAUUGGGUUUAAGGGGAGCGUAGGCCGGCUUUUAAGUCAGCUGUGAAAGUCCGCGGCUCAACCGUGGAAUUGCAGUUGAAACUGGAGGCCUUGAGUGCACGCAGGGAUGGCGGAAUUCAUGGUGUAGCGGUGAAAUGCUUAGAUAUCAUGAAGAACUCCGAUCGCGAAGGCAAGUGUCCGGGGUGCAACUGACGCUGAGGCUCGAAAGUGCGGGUAUCAAACAGGAUUAGAUACCCGUGUAGUC